UACGGGGGGGGCAAGCGUUGUUCGGAAUUACUGGGCGUAAAGGGCUCGUAGGCGGCCAAGUAAGUCAGACGUGAAAUCCCUCGGCUUAACCGGGGAACUGCGUCUGAUACUGGAUGGCUUGAGUUUGGGAGAGGGAUGCGGAAUUCCAGGUGUAGCGGUGAAAUGCGUAGAUAUCUGGAGGAAAGCCGAUGGCGAAGGCGGCAUCCUGGACCAACACUGAAGAUGAGUGAGCGAAAGCCAGGGGAGCAAACGGG
Molecule: ribosomal RNA, 254 nt
Filed under: uncultured bacterium
Lineage: Bacteria
Description: partial 16S ribosomal RNA
Rfam family: Bacterial small subunit ribosomal RNA
Source: RNAcentral